UUUAAAAUAUGUCGAAUCUCGCGCCGUUUCCGAAACUCUCGGGCUCGAUCUUUCGGUGAUCGAUAUGCGUGUAACGUCGUGUCAUGGACGACAAGAGUGGGGAGAGCUCGCUCCCAGCUCUCUGUCAAUUAAUCUAUGCUCGCUCUCUCGCUCCGGGACCGUCGAAAGGACCGCAACUGGUUGGACUCUCCUGAAAAUUCAUCUCUCUCUACUGGCUUGACUCUCCUGAAAAGUCAUCUCUUUUUCAACGUGACGGGAUUUACUUGGGUCUGGCCGCCCCAAAGCCUUCAUCUUCGCCAGAAAGAGAGAAAUUUCAAUCGACAUCGAGGAAAAUCGUCCAAAGCCGUUGUAUUUUCAUCGAAAUCAUUCUCCUGAGGUUCCCGGAGUCGAAGAGCCAACGUGGGACGAGCAUGAACACCAAAAAAAAAAAAAACGAGAUAAGCAACUUCUUUUAUCCGUCGUUAGUCAAUAGGACAUUAAUUUGCAAAAAAAGAAAAAAUAUAUUUUCGAGUGAGUGGGUGUGAGUGCGUAGAGUAUGCGGUUGUAUGAAUGAUUGUCAUGGUUUAUAUUUUUCUUACCAAUAAUAAUAAAACAAACACGUAUCUUACAAUAUAUGUAUACUUUUCGUGAUAGCCGGCGAGUUUGGAGGCUAGGAUAUCUUUCGACUGUCAGAUCAGUCCAUUCAAUUUGGAUGGCACAUUCUCUGCGGAUCGUUACUGCAAAUUUCUCUAGACACGCCUUUGCAAGUUAUGCAUUCGUGCAAAGUUAACUUGGAGGAAUUUAACGCGGCCCAUUUUCAACAAGAUGAGGCCGUUGCUUAUACAAGUAGGCGACCCAGGAUAUCAUCUGAUUCGUCUUUGGGAACCGAGAUAUCGGGCAAGGUGGCGUUUGCAAAUGGCCUCCACGUUCACCUGAUUUCAACUCUCUUGAUUUUUUCUUUUGAGAGCACGUGAAAUUGGUCGUCUACCAGCAGCCGAUUCACGGUCGGGCGGACUUGGAGGCCUGCAUCGGGGAAGCUUUACAGACCGGUUUUACUGAUACGCAGAAGUUUCUGUAUCGUCCCUUGACGGUGUUCUAACCUUCUUUUUACGGAGAGUUAGGUGUUUGGAAUAAAUGAAUGAAAAACA
Venturia canescens is the source of this 1127-nucleotide long non-coding RNA. RefSeq lists it as uncharacterized. The record is from RefSeq and is a predicted model, not a curated record. The transcript is spliced from 2 exons. NCBI's taxonomy places the organism in Eukaryota, Metazoa, Arthropoda, Insecta, Hymenoptera, Ichneumonidae.